RNAcentral lists this ribosomal RNA (348 nucleotides) under Stenotrophomonas maltophilia. RNAcentral describes it as "bacterial SSU rRNA". It matches the Rfam family "Bacterial small subunit ribosomal RNA", at positions 1187 to 1533 of the family's 1533-position model. The record is from RNAcentral. RNAcentral also lists the same sequence under 1 other name. Lineage: Bacteria; Pseudomonadati; Pseudomonadota; Gammaproteobacteria; Lysobacterales; Lysobacteraceae.
AAGUCAUCAUGGCCCUUACGGCCAGGGCUACACACGUACUACAAUGGUAGGGACAGAGGGCUGCAAGCCGGCGACGGUAAGCCAAUCCCAGAAACCCUAUCUCAGUCCGGAUUGGAGUCUGCAACUCGACUCCAUGAAGUCGGAAUCGCUAGUAAUCGCAGAUCAGCAUUGCUGCGGUGAAUACGUUCCCGGGCCUUGUACACACCGCCCGUCACACCAUGGGAGUUUGUUGCACCAGAAGCAGGUAGCUUAACCUUCGGGAGGGCGCUUGCCACGGUGUGGCCGAUGACUGGGGUGAAGUCGUAACAAGGUAGCCGUAUCGGAAGGUGCGGCUGGAUCACCUCCUUU